RNAcentral lists this ribosomal RNA (547 nucleotides) under Cladophora vagabunda. Its description in RNAcentral is "eukaryotic LSU rRNA". It matches the Rfam family "Eukaryotic large subunit ribosomal RNA", at positions 34 to 594 of the family's 3401-position model. The record is from RNAcentral. Lineage: Eukaryota; Viridiplantae; Chlorophyta; Ulvophyceae; Cladophorales; Cladophoraceae.
UUAAGCAUAUCAAUAAGCGGAGGUAAAGAAACCAACAGGGAUUCCCUUAGUAACGGCGAGCGAAAAGGGAUGAGCCCAGCAUGUAAAUCUCCGGUUUCCGGCGAAUUGUAGUCUGGAGUAGCAACUCCUGGUGCCGUGCCGACCCAAGCAUCUUGGAAUAGAUCGCCUCAGAGGGUGAGAGCCCCGUAGGUCGGUACGAGCUCCUACACGGAGUGCUCACGCAGAGUCGGGUUGUUUGGGAAUGCAGCCCCAAUUGGGUGGUAAACCCCAUCUAAGGCUAAAUACCUGUGGGAGACCGAUAGCAAAAAAGUACCUCGAGGGAACGAUGAAAAGACCGCUGGCAAGCGAGUGAAAGAGUGCAUGAAAUUGUAUAGUGGGAAGGGAUGGCCUGGCGUAUUGCCCGCGGGUAUACACUGCUCCUUGAGCUGUUGAAUACACCGUGGGCUGGCUGGUGCCGACACCUGCGCUUGCAAAUCCCCAAACUAAGGUGUUUGGCUCUUCAAGCGCGGGUGUUGAGGUUGAUCGUCGCUCUGUUUUAUACUGCGUC